Molecule: transfer RNA, 80 nt
Filed under: Cordylochernes scorpioides
Lineage: Eukaryota; Metazoa; Arthropoda; Arachnida; Pseudoscorpiones; Chernetidae
Description: tRNA-Thr
Source: RNAcentral
UAAAAGUAUCCAGGGAUGGGAAUCGAACCCACAGUGUUUUGCUUACCGGGCAGAUGCCAUGUCUACUAGGCUACCCUUUC